Molecule: ribosomal RNA, 460 nt
Filed under: uncultured bacterium
Lineage: Bacteria
Description: partial 16S ribosomal RNA
Rfam family: Bacterial small subunit ribosomal RNA
Source: RNAcentral
CCUACGGGUGACAGCAGUGAGGAAUAUUGGUCAAUGGGCGCGAGCCUGAACCAGCCAAGUAGCGUGAAGGAUGACUGUCCUACGGGUUGUAAACUUCUUUUAUAAAGGAAUAAAGUGCGGCACGUGUGCCUUUGUGCAUGUACCUUACGAAUAAGCAUCGGCUAACUCCGUGCCAGCAGCCGCGGUAAUACGGAGGAUCCGAGCGUUAUCCGGAUUUAUUGGGUGUAAAGGGAGCGUAGAUGGGUUGUUAAGUCAGUGGUGAAAGUUUGCGGCUCAACCGUAGAAUUGCAGUUGAUACUGGCAGCCUUGAGUGCAGUUGAGGUAGGCGGAAUUCGUGGUGUAGCGGUGAAAUGCUUAGAUAUCACGAAGAACUCCGAUUGCGAAGGCAGCUUACUAAAGUGCAACUGACGUUCAUGCUCGAAAGUGUGGGUAUCGAACAGGAUUAGAUACCCCAGUAGUC